This 269-nucleotide long non-coding RNA is filed under the name Oryza sativa Indica Group (long-grained rice). Its description in RNAcentral is "lncRNA OsZS97_07G025040". Lineage: Eukaryota; Viridiplantae; Streptophyta; Magnoliopsida; Poales; Poaceae. The record is from RNAcentral.
AAAAAAGAGCCCACGGACAGCCCACGCGGCCACGCCCAUCCACCCCUCAAAUCUAGCGACGCCGACGCCGACGCCGACGCCGACGACGACGCCCACCCCCGCCGGCCGCCGCCGUUCUGCUCCGCUUCCGGCGCCGCUGAGGAGCUUCCACUCUCCAAUGCGCCUCAGGAUUUUGUGAUGCCCAUCCCGUCCAUCUUCAAAGCCAUCCCUGCCGUUUGAAUUUUGAUCGAUCGCAAGGAAAGACACAAGAAAGAAUAAAGAGAGUGCAG